CAGUCGAGCGCACUGGCCCAACUGAUAUGACGUGCUUGCACUGAUUUGACGAUGGAUUACCAGUGAGCGGCGGACGGGUGAGUAACACGUGGGCAACCUCCCCUAAAGCGGGGGAUAACAUUUGGAAACAGGUGCUAAUACCGCAUAACUACGAAAACCACAUGGUUUUCGUAUAAAAGAUGGUUUCGGCUAUCACUUUAGGAUGGGCCCGCGGUGCAUUAGCUAGUUGGUAGGGUAACGGCUUACCAAGGCAAUGAUGCAUAGCCGAGUUGAGAGACUGAUCGGCCACAAUGGAACUGAGACACGGUCCAUACUCCUACGGGAGGCAGCAGUAGGGAAUCUUCCACAAUGGGCGCAAGCCUGAUGGAGCAACACCGCGUGAGUGAAGAAGGGUUUCGGCUCGUAAAACUCUGUUGUUGAAGAAGAACGUGCGUGAGAGUAACUGUUCAUGCAGUGACGGUAUUCAAUCAGAAAGUCACGGCUAACUACGUGCCAGCAGCCGCGGUAAUACGUAGGUGGCAAGCGUUAUCCGGAUUUAUUGGGCGUAAAGCGAGCGCAGGCGGUUGCUUAGGUCUGAUGUGAAAGCCUUCGGCUUAACCGAAGAAGUGCAUCGGAAACCGGGCGACUUGAGUGCAGAAGAGGACAGUGGAACUCCAUGUGUAGCGGUGGAAUGCGUAGAUAUAUGGAAGAACACCAGUGGCGAAGGCGGCUGUCUGGUCUGCAACUGACGCUGAGGCUCGAAAGCAUGGGUAGCAAACAGGAUUAGAUACCCUGGUAGUCCAUGCCGUAAACGAUGAGUGGUAGGUGUUGGAGGGUUUCCGCCCUUCAAUGCCGCAGCUAACGCAUUAAGCACUCCGCCUGGGGAGUACGACCGCAAGGUUGAAACUCAAAGGAAUUGACGGGGGCCC
This 908-nucleotide ribosomal RNA is filed under the name uncultured bacterium. Its description in RNAcentral is "bacterial SSU rRNA". It matches the Rfam family "Bacterial small subunit ribosomal RNA", at positions 59 to 922 of the family's 1533-position model. The record is from RNAcentral.